This 253-nucleotide ribosomal RNA is filed under the name uncultured bacterium. RNAcentral's name for it is "partial 16S ribosomal RNA". It matches the Rfam family "Bacterial small subunit ribosomal RNA", at positions 524 to 776 of the family's 1533-position model. The record is from RNAcentral.
UACGUAGGGUGCAAGCGUUAAUCGGAAUUACUGGGCGUAAAGAGCUCGUAGGCGGUCUGUCGCGUCUGCUGUGAAAACUCGGGGCUUAACCCCGGGCCUGCAGUGGGUACGGGCAGACUAGAGUGCGGUAGGGGAGACUGGAAUUCCUGGUGUAGCGGUGAAAUGCGCAGAUAUCAGGAGGAACACCGGUGGCGAAGGCGGGUCUCUGGGCCGUAACUGACGCUGAGGAGCGAAAGCAUGGGGAGCGAACAGG